Molecule: ribosomal RNA, 2773 nt
Filed under: human gut metagenome
Description: bacterial LSU rRNA
Rfam family: Bacterial large subunit ribosomal RNA
Source: RNAcentral
AGCGUACACGGUGGAUGCCCUGGCAGUCAGAGGCGAUGAAGGACGUGCUAAUCUGCGAUAAGCGUCGGUAAGGUGAUAUGAACCGUUAUAACCGGCGAUUUCCGAAUGGGGAAACCCAGUGUGAUUCGUCACACUAUCAUUAACUGAAUCCAUAGGUUAAUGAGGCGAACCGGGGGAACUGAAACAUCUAAGUACCCCGAGGAAAAGAAAUCAACCGAGAUUCCCCCAGUAGCGGCGAGCGAACGGGGAGCAGCCCAGAGCCUGAAUCAGUGUGUGUGUUAGUGGAAGCGUCUGGAAAGGCGCGCGAUACAGGGUGACAGCCCCGUACACAAAAAUGCACAUGCUGUGAGCUCGAUGAGUAGGGCGGGACACGUGGUAUCCUGUCUGAAUAUGGGGGGACCAUCCUCCAAGGCUAAAUACUCCUGACUGACCGAUAGUGAACCAGUACCGUGAGGGAAAGGCGAAAAGAACCCCGGCGAGGGGAGUGAAAAAGAACCUGAAACCGUGUACGUACAAGCAGUGGGAGCACGCUUAGGCGUGUGACUGCGUACCUUUUGUAUAAUGGGUCAGCGACUUAUAUUCUGUAGCAAGGUUAACCGAAUAGGGGAGCCGAAGGGAAACCGAGUCUUAACUGGGCGUUAAGUUGCAGGGUAUAGACCCGAAACCCGGUGAUCUAGCCAUGGGCAGGUUGAAGGUUGGGUAACACUAACUGGAGGACCGAACCGACUAAUGUUGAAAAAUUAGCGGAUGACUUGUGGCUGGGGGUGAAAGGCCAAUCAAACCGGGAGAUAGCUGGUUCUCCCCGAAAGCUAUUUAGGUAGCGCCUCGUGAAUUCAUCUCCGGGGGUAGAGCACUGUUUCGGCAAGGGGGUCAUCCCGACUUACCAACCCGAUGCAAACUGCGAAUACCGGAGAAUGUUAUCACGGGAGACACACGGCGGGUGCUAACGUCCGUCGUGAAGAGGGAAACAACCCAGACCGCCAGCUAAGGUCCCAAAGUCAUGGUUAAGUGGGAAACGAUGUGGGAAGGCCCAGACAGCCAGGAUGUUGGCUUAGAAGCAGCCAUCAUUUAAAGAAAGCGUAAUAGCUCACUGGUCGAGUCGGCCUGCGCGGAAGAUGUAACGGGGCUAAACCAUGCACCGAAGCUGCGGCAGCGACGCUGAUGCGUUGUUGGGUAGGGGAGCGUUCUGUAAGCCUGUGAAGGUGUGCUGUGAGGCAUGCUGGAGGUAUCAGAAGUGCGAAUGCUGACAUAAGUAACGAUAAAGCGGGUGAAAAGCCCGCUCGCCGGAAGACCAAGGGUUCCUGUCCAACGUUAAUCGGGGCAGGGUGAGUCGACCCCUAAGGCGAGGCCGAAAGGCGUAGUCGAUGGGAAACAGGUUAAUAUUCCUGUACUUGGUGUUACUGCGAAGGGGGGACGGAGAAGGCUAUGUUGGCCGGGCGACGGUUGUCCCGGUUUAAGCGUGUAGGCUGGUUUUCCAGGCAAAUCCGGAAAAUCAAGGCUGAGGCGUGAUGACGAGGCACUACGGUGCUGAAGCAACAAAUGCCCUGCUUCCAGGAAAAGCCUCUAAGCAUCAGGUAACAUCAAAUCGUACCCCAAACCGACACAGGUGGUCAGGUAGAGAAUACCAAGGCGCUUGAGAGAACUCGGGUGAAGGAACUAGGCAAAAUGGUGCCGUAACUUCGGGAGAAGGCACGCUGAUAUGUAGGUGAAGUCCCUCGCGGAUGGAGCUGAAAUCAGUCGAAGAUACCAGCUGGCUGCAACUGUUUAUUAAAAACACAGCACUGUGCAAACACGAAAGUGGACGUAUACGGUGUGACGCCUGCCCGGUGCCGGAAGGUUAAUUGAUGGGGUCAGCGCAAGCGAAGCUCUUGAUCGAAGCCCCGGUAAACGGCGGCCGUAACUAUAACGGUCCUAAGGUAGCGAAAUUCCUUGUCGGGUAAGUUCCGACCUGCACGAAUGGCGUAAUGAUGGCCAGGCUGUCUCCACCCGAGACUCAGUGAAAUUGAACUCGCUGUGAAGAUGCAGUGUACCCGCGGCAAGACGGAAAGACCCCGUGAACCUUUACUAUAGCUUGACACUGAACAUUGAGCCUUGAUGUGUAGGAUAGGUGGGAGGCUUGGAAGUGUGGACGCCAGUCUGCAUGGAGCCGACCUUGAAAUACCACCCUUUAAUGUUUGAUGUUCUAACGUUGACCCGUAAUCCGGGUUGCGGACAGUGUCUGGUGGGUAGUUUGACUGGGGCGGUCUCCUCCUAAAGAGUAACGGAGGAGCACGAAGGUUGGCUAAUCCUGGUCGGACAUCAGGAGGUUAGUGCAAUGGCAUAAGCCAGCUUGACUGCGAGCGUGACGGCGCGAGCAGGUGCGAAAGCAGGUCAUAGUGAUCCGGUGGUUCUGAAUGGAAGGGCCAUCGCUCAACGGAUAAAAGGUACUCCGGGGAUAACAGGCUGAUACCGCCCAAGAGUUCAUAUCGACGGCGGUGUUUGGCACCUCGAUGUCGGCUCAUCACAUCCUGGGGCUGAAGUAGGUCCCAAGGGUAUGGCUGUUCGCCAUUUAAAGUGGUACGCGAGCUGGGUUUAGAACGUCGUGAGACAGUUCGGUCCCUAUCUGCCGUGGGCGCUGGAGAACUGAGGGGGGCUGCUCCUAGUACGAGAGGACCGGAGUGGACGCAUCACUGGUGUUCGGGUUGUCAUGCCAAUGGCACUGCCCGGUAGCUAAAUGCGGAAGAGAUAAGUGCUGAAAGCAUCUAAGCACGAAACUUGCCCCGAGAUGAGUUCU